AUUGAACGCUGGCGGCAUGCCUUACACAUGCAAGUCGAACGGCAGCACGGGAGCAAUCCUGGUGGCGAGUGGCGAACGGUGAGUAAUAUAUCGGAACGUGCCCGGUCGUGGGGGAUAACGUAGCGAAAGCUACGCUAAUACCGCAUACGAUCUACGGAUGAAAGCGGGGGAUCGCAAGACCUCGCGCGAUUGGAGCGGCCGAUAUCAGAUUAGGUAGUUGGUGAGGUAAAGGCUCACCAAGCCGACGAUCUGUAGCUGGUCUGAGAGGACGACCAGCCACACUGGGACUGAGACACGGCCCAGACUCCUACGGGAGGCAGCAGUGGGGAAUUUUGGACAAUGGGCGCAAGCCUGAUCCAGCAAUGCCGCGUGCAGGAUGAAGGCCU
RNAcentral lists this ribosomal RNA (386 nucleotides) under uncultured bacterium. RNAcentral describes it as "bacterial SSU rRNA". It matches the Rfam family "Bacterial small subunit ribosomal RNA", at positions 30 to 417 of the family's 1533-position model. The record is from RNAcentral.